Manduca sexta (tobacco hornworm) is the source of this 641-nucleotide long non-coding RNA. RefSeq lists it as uncharacterized. NCBI's taxonomy places the organism in Eukaryota, Metazoa, Arthropoda, Insecta, Lepidoptera, Sphingidae. The record is from RefSeq and is a predicted model, not a curated record. The transcript is spliced from 2 exons.
CUUUUUUACAAGAUUACGUUGAAGAAAUUGAUUAGGGAGCGUGUAUGAACCCGCUCCCUAACCAAAACCCUCCCUAAAAGAAUAUGAAUUCUUGAACGUGAAUGUCGACACGAACUACAAUUUCAUAUAGGUGUCGUAGAUUCAUUUGGGGGAGCUGUGCUAGCUGAAAUGUAAUAUUGCUACUCUUGCAUUGCGCAUGUCAACGCAACUAUUACGCAACAAUACGCACUAUGAUAGCCACUCUUAAAAUAUUCAUAUAAAUAAAAUAUUUGGAUAAUAUACAAUAGUGAUUAUGUACCGUGGUGGCAUUCAGUACAAAUAAUAAAGUUAAAACAGCACAAUGAAAUAUAAAAGGAAUAAAUCAAUUUUAUUUUUUAGAUCAUGCUCAUUGUGCCUCCUCAGACCCCACUUCCAAUAGAAAAUAUAAAGGAGAUAUCUAUGUAUCCAUUUUAUGCUAUAAUCAUGUAGGAUAUUAUUGUUUUAGGUUUGUUCCACAUCUGCAGAAUAAAUUGCAACAGUAGAAGUGCAACACAGGAAAGAGUUACAUGCUAUUCAGAUGGACAAUGAGCUCCAGUGAAAUAAAAAAAUAAAAUUGAGAUAUAUUAAUAAAAGAAAAAUAUAAAUUUUAUAAAAACAAAUGA